Molecule: ribosomal RNA, 625 nt
Filed under: Eryx jayakari
Lineage: Eukaryota; Metazoa; Chordata; Lepidosauria; Squamata; Erycidae
Description: partial small subunit ribosomal RNA
Rfam family: Bacterial small subunit ribosomal RNA
Source: RNAcentral
AUGGGCUCAAGGCAAUACAAACGGCGUAAAGCACGACUAGAACAAAUCAUAAUAUAAAUUAAGGACGAAACACCACUGGGUAGUAAAAUACCAUAAGUAAACAUAAGCACAUAAACCUUAAUACCAGUUCAACUCGUGAAAAUUAGGAUACAAACUAGGAUUAGAUACCCUACUAUGCCUAACAGUAACACGGCAACUAUUACACAUACAUGCCCGCCAAACAAAUACGAGCGAAAGCUUAAAACUUAAAAGACUUGACGGUACUUCAACCAACCUAGAGGAGCCUGUCCACUAACCGACAAUCCACGAUCAACCCAACCAGCUCUUGCCCAUCAGCCUAUAUACCGCCGUCGUCAGCCUACCUUGUGAAAGAAGCUAAGUAGGCCAAAUAGUACCACACUAAAACGACAGGUCGAGGUGUAGCAUAUGGGCUGGUUAAAGAUGGGCUACAUUUUCUAAUACAGAAAAUACGGACACAGCCAUGAAACAAAGCCUAAGAAGGAGGAUUUAGCAGUAAGCUAAGAACAUAAUACUUAACUGAAACAAAUGCAAUGAAGUGCGCACACACCGCCCGUCAUCCCUGCCACAACAAAACAAUAAUAAAUAAACCAAAAUAAACCAACAC